RNAcentral lists this ribosomal RNA (1976 nucleotides) under Escherichia coli. RNAcentral describes it as "partial 23S ribosomal RNA". It matches the Rfam family "Bacterial large subunit ribosomal RNA", at positions 632 to 2593 of the family's 2925-position model. Lineage: Bacteria; Pseudomonadati; Pseudomonadota; Gammaproteobacteria; Enterobacterales; Enterobacteriaceae. The record is from RNAcentral.
AUUCUGUAGCAAGGUUAACCGAAUAGGGGAGCCGAAGGGAAACCGAGUCUUAACUGGGCGUUAAGUUGCAGGGUAUAGACCCGAAACCCGGUGAUCUAGCCAUGGGCAGGUUGAAGGUUGGGUAACACUAACUGGAGGACCGAACCGACUAAUGUUGAAAAAUUAGCGGAUGACUUGUGGCUGGGGGUGAAAGGCCAAUCAAACCGGGAGAUAGCUGGUUCUCCCCGAAAGCUAUUUAGGUAGCGCCUCGUGAAUUCAUCUCCGGGGGUAGAGCACUGUUUCGGCAAGGGGGUCAUCCCGACUUACCAACCCGAUGCAAACUGCGAAUACCGGAGAAUGUUAUCACGGGAGACACACGGCGGGUGCUAACGUCCGUCGUGAAGAGGGAAACAACCCAGACCGCCAGCUAAGGUCCCAAAGUCAUGGUUAAGUGGGAAACGAUGUGGGAAGGCCCAGACAGCCAGGAUGUUGGCUUAGAAGCAGCCAUCAUUUAAAGAAAGCGUAAUAGCUCACUGGUCGAGUCGGCCUGCGCGGAAGAUGUAACGGGGCUAAACCAUGCACCGAAGCUGCGGCAGCGACGCUGAUGCGUUGUUGGGUAGGGGAGCGUUCUGUAAGCCUGUGAAGGUGUGCUGUGAGGCAUGCUGGAGGUAUCAGAAGUGCGAAUGCUGACAUAAGUAACGAUAAAGCGGGUGAAAAGCCCGCUCGCCGGAAGACCAAGGGUUCCUGUCCAACGUUAAUCGGGGCAGGGUGAGUCGACCCCUAAGGCGAGGCCGAAAGGCGUAGUCGAUGGGAAACAGGUUAAUAUUCCUGUACUUGGUGUUACUGCGAAGGGGGGACGGAGAAGGCUAUGUUGGCCGGGCGACGGUUGUCCCGGUUUAAGCGUGUAGGCUGGUUUUCCAGGCAAAUCCGGAAAAUCAAGGCUGAGGCGUGAUGACGAGGCACUACGGUGCUGAAGCAACAAAUGCCCUGCUUCCAGGAAAAGCCUCUAAGCAUCAGGUAACAUCAAAUCGUACCCCAAACCGACACAGGUGGUCAGGUAGAGAAUACCAAGGCGCUUGAGAGAACUCGGGUGAAGGAACUAGGCAAAAUGGUGCCGUAACUUCGGGAGAAGGCACGCUGAUAUGUAGGUGAAGUCCCUCGCGGAUGGAGCUGAAAUCAGUCGAAGAUACCAGCUGGCUGCAACUGUUUAUUAAAAACACAGCACUGUGCAAACACGAAAGUGGACGUAUACGGUGUGACGCCUGCCCGGUGCCGGAAGGUUAAUUGAUGGGGUCAGCGCAAGCGAAGCUCUUGAUCGAAGCCCCGGUAAACGGCGGCCGUAACUAUAACGGUCCUAAGGUAGCGAAAUUCCUUGUCGGGUAAGUUCCGACCUGCACGAAUGGCGUAAUGAUGGCCAGGCUGUCUCCACCCGAGACUCAGUGAAAUUGAACUCGCUGUGAAGAUGCAGUGUACCCGCGGCAAGACGGAAAGACCCCGUGAACCUUUACUAUAGCUUGACACUGAACAUUGAGCCUUGAUGUGUAGGAUAGGUGGGAGGCUUAGAAGUGUGGACGCCAGUCUGCAUGGAGCCGACCUUGAAAUACCACCCUUUAAUGUUUGAUGUUCUAACGUUGACCCGUAAUCCGGGUUGCGGACAGUGUCUGGUGGGUAGUUUGACUGGGGCGGUCUCCUCCUAAAGAGUAACGGAGGAGCACGAAGGUUGGCUAAUCCUGGUCGGACAUCAGGAGGUUAGUGCAAUGGCAUAAGCCAGCUUGACUGCGAGCGUGACGGCGCGAGCAGGUGCGAAAGCAGGUCAUAGUGAUCCGGUGGUUCUGAAUGGAAGGGCCAUCGCUCAACGGAUAAAAGGUACUCCGGGGAUAACAGGCUGAUACCGCCCAAGAGUUCAUAUCGACGGCGGUGUUUGGCACCUCGAUGUCGGCUCAUCACAUCCUGGGGCUGAAGUAGGUCCCAAGGGUAUGGCUGUUCGCCAUUUAAAG